RNAcentral lists this long non-coding RNA (3403 nucleotides) under Homo sapiens (human). RNAcentral describes it as "HSALNT0099783". The record is from RNAcentral. Lineage: Eukaryota; Metazoa; Chordata; Mammalia; Primates; Hominidae.
GUUUUUUCUGUGCUGUUUGCCUGGAAUACAGCAGUCAUUGUCUAAAAGUAUCCUGUUUUGCUAAUCUGCCCUUUUCCUGGUCCUUUAGCUAGAGAGAGCAGGCUUUUGUUGGGGCUUUUUUUUUUGUUUUUUUUUUUUCCUGUGCCUGGGUUUCUGCCUUCUUCAGCUCCAAGACAGGGAUAUAUGAGAGAAGAAGAUAACCCAGCGAACUCACCGCUGUUUUUUCCUUAGCCCGUCAUGUCCCCAGCUGGUCUGCCUUCUUCUCCAUCUUUCAGAGUCUUCUUAUAUUUGUUUUGUAGAUAAUGUGCAUGGUCUUUAGUUGUACUUAGAGGGUGGAAAAGUGGAUGACUUAGGGAAAAGUGGAUGACUCUAUCUUCCUGGAAGCAGAAGUCCUAAUGAGAAGAAAAGUAACCAGAGAGGUACAUGUAAAGGAACCAAGAUUUUUCUAGCCUGGAGCCUUGCUGUGGCCUUGAAGAGGGCGGACACCACCUAGCCUUGGAGCACUACCUGAAUCCUUGCUUCCCCUGAUUAAAAAAAGAAGAAAGAAAGAAAGAAAGAAAGAAGAAAGAAAGAAAGAAAGAAAGAAAGAAAGAAAGAAAGAAAGAAAGAAAGAAAGAAAGAAAAAGCAGGUCCUAUAUUUGUAACUAACCUGGCAGAAGGAGUCACAGUACUGUGAGAAGGGGAGGGUGAUACUGCCUUUGCACCACCAAGAAACCUGAAGAUCUGUUUCAUAAAGCAGUUAUAACCUGUGACAAAUUCUUAAUAUUAGCCUCACUUCCCCAUUCUUUUGAAACGCACUUGAAAAGGGGGUUAGGGAGUAGUGGAGGGAUCCCGGGAUUUGGGUUAGAGUUCUCUCUUCUACUCCUACAGGGACAAGACACAGAUCCCUUCUGAGCUCCGAGUUUUACCUUUACAAGGAGAAGGCUGGCUGAGAUGCCUCUGGGGCUGCCUCCAGCUUCAGGGACCUGUUGUCCUGCUGUGGUUAGAAGAACCCAGCAGCCCACACCAUUGCUGUGUGGCUCCACAAAGCCACACGGCCUCCUCCAUGCCCUGGUCCACAGGGCCUCACCCACAGAGCCCAUACCUGCUCUCACCUCUAACCCCAGGGCACAUCAAACCUACCUGUUGACAAAAUUACAACCCAUUUAGCUGUAGGUCUCAUUGGCUUUUAUGCAUGAUUCAUGAACCAGGGCAGCCUCCCUUCUAUUAAACAGAAUGAGAGAUCUCACUGGGCAAGAGCAGAACAGUGGGUUUGGUAAGGUGGGAACAGGGAAACAAGAAAAAAGCUGACUGGUUAGCAUGAGGAUACUUGUUUUGGAAGGUUUGGAGAACGUAACUUCCUUAUUAUGCUGACUCAGUAGACUGGAAUCUCCUGUUUUCAGGAAAAACUGGUCUGUUUUGGGCCCUAUUUGCUUCCUUCAAGUUUCAGUUUGAUGAUGUGACAUUUGGCAUGAGUGAUUCCAUUUUGAUUUGGCCUGGUCUGUUGGGGCCUAGGGCAGGAGUUCAGUCUGAAGCGGUGGACUCUCAUCAUCUUUGUUUAAUGCCAGGUUUCUCUAACCCAUUUUCAGAGGUGGAAUCACAGCCUUUGAAGGGACCAGAGGGGUACUGGGUGAUCUUGGAGCACAGGAAGCAUAUUCCUGGUGUCUCAGGGCCCGGUGACUUUCAUGGAGCCCUCCGGGCCCCAGUGGGCUGCGCACUGAUGGAUGAAGUGUUUCUGACAGGGCCCACGUCCAGUCAGUGCAUUCGCAGCUCCCACCGCCGCAGGGCCUGGGUCCCGGCCUCUGGCCAGUGUGCCUGUGCGUGACACAUUGCAGCCGCGUUUUCCAAGUGAGUUCAGUGGUACUGACAGGAUCCACAUUUCCAGUCCGCAGCCAGCCACACACACAAUAUUAUCUGUGAAUGGAAACCGUCACUGUAGAUUUCUGCUUGGGUUUUGGCAGCUGCCCCUGAUGGGAGAGUGCAUGUCACAGACCUAACUGAAGUCAGAGUCCCCUCUGCACAGACAGCAGGGCUUGGACAGACCAUGAGUAAUGAGCCACGUUCUCAAAGCUCCCGGGAGUCUGCACUUCCUGCAGAGAGACAUUCUGGUGAGGAAUCAGCAACGCUUUCCAUGGGGGCAGUUUUACCAAGCCUGUCAUGGAGACAGGGCUGUGUAGGCUGGACUAGAAGGGUGCUGGGAUUGUGGAAGUGUCUGGAUGGUUCUGGAAAAAUCUAGUAGCCAUAUAAAAGGAAAAAAAAAAAAAGGUAGGGUGUGGGAGUGGCAAUGUGGAAUUUCUUGGAAAUAAAGAGAAAGAAAAUAACAAGCCUGUUCUCUUGGCCUUGACCUCUCGCUGUACCCCAGGCUACCGACUAGACUGCUCCACCGGCUCUCUGAUGUCACCUCAGACUCAACUUAUCCAAAACUGAGGUCAUCCUCCCCCAGACUGGCUCCUUGUCCUAAUUCUGUCAGCAAAACCACAUUUCCAGACACCCAGAGCCUGCCUUUGGGGAAGCCUUUGGUUUUUUUUUCCUUCCUAUUGAAUCUGUCCCCAGCCCUGUUGGUGAUUAUUGGUCUCCGGGUGUCUCUUUCUCUGACCUUUCCGAGUCAUGAUUUCAAAGUCAUUGCUCACAAAAGUGAACAGAAUUAAAGUAACCAUAAAAGAAAAGGAAUUUCAAAAAGGAGAACUAAACCCAAAAUUGGAAUAAACUGGAGGAUGCCCCAUUGCUUCAUCCUGCAGACACCAGCCCAGCCCAGGACAGCACCUACACGUCAGCGCCGGUGCCUCCUGAGCCACGGCUGAGCCAAAGCCCACAGUCCACAUCGUCUCUCAGGCUUGGAGCCCGCCUGCAGCCUGCCACGUCGAGUCCCAUGUUUUGUGGCCACCUUCUGUGCACAAGCCCCUGACCCAACCUUUCCUGCCGUUCACCAUGCCUCAUUAUUAUGCUCUCCUCCAUCCUCCCACCUGCCUCCUGAAAUGCCCUUCCUUUGAGCUGAACUCUGUGAGUCUCUCAAAGCCCAGCUCAGCUGUGCAACUUCCGACUCGUGUGGCUCUUCCUGACUUGCUCCUGCUCUGAGAGUCUGUCGCACCCACAGCAAGGACAUGGCCAUGGUUACAAGCUCAGGCCCCAGAACCAGAAGUCACCUGUAUGCAGUAGCUGUGCGGUUUGGGCCAAGUCACUUAACACUUCAGAGCCUUCAUUGUCUUAUCUGUAAAAUGGGACUAAUCAUAGUCCCCCAGACUUGUAAGGCUGUAGAGAGAAUUGAAUAGGAUAUUGCUCACAAUGUGCUUAGUAUAGUGCCUGGCAAUGAAUUAAGAAUCAUUCAACAAAUUCUUGUUGUUGCUCUACUACUUUUUCUUAUUCUCCCAUUUGAGCUUUUUCCUAUUUGUCUGCUUUAAUUUGUCUGCUUAAUUACAUUAAGGCC